GGAAUAGCUUAGUGACAGAGUGCAUGCCUAGCAUGCAUGAGGUCCUGGAUUCAAUCCCCAGCACCUCCA
Molecule: transfer RNA, 69 nt
Filed under: Camelus bactrianus (Bactrian camel)
Lineage: Eukaryota; Metazoa; Chordata; Mammalia; Artiodactyla; Camelidae
Also listed under: 2 other names
Rfam family: tRNA
About the family: Transfer RNA (tRNA) molecules are approximately 80 nucleotides in length.
Source: Rfam by way of RNAcentral